CCAGAAAAAGAUUUGCCCUUUUCUCUCUUUUGUGCUUCACAAGCUAAAGGAUAUCUACUGGCUGGUGGAAUGCUUCUCCUAUUGGUUAGCAAAGCACUUGGGAAUGGUGAGGAGAAUUUCGAGCAUGAAAACGUAAGGAGAAAGGGAGCAUCUUGAAUGUUAGUUCUCAGCUGCUCCUAUCUGCGAGUCCUCAUUAAUAUUCACAUUUCGGAAACUGAGGUGGACGACAAGCGGAGAUUAUUGACAGAAGUCAUGUCAGUUUGCGAAUACACAUGGGCUUGGCCAGAUGGGUCGAAGUGCCUUUCUAACUCUAUUACCAUUAGUUCGAGAUUACCAACCGAUCGAUUUGAUUGGAUAGGCGACAACCCUGGAAAAUACUGCCUAUUAUAGUAUCUAAAC
Long non-coding RNA from Chiloscyllium plagiosum (whitespotted bambooshark), 399 nucleotides. RefSeq lists it as uncharacterized. The record is from RefSeq and is a predicted model, not a curated record. NCBI's taxonomy places the organism in Eukaryota, Metazoa, Chordata, Chondrichthyes, Orectolobiformes, Hemiscylliidae.